This 497-nucleotide ribosomal RNA is filed under the name uncultured bacterium. Its description in RNAcentral is "partial 16S ribosomal RNA". It matches the Rfam family "Bacterial small subunit ribosomal RNA", at positions 28 to 507 of the family's 1533-position model. The record is from RNAcentral.
GAUGAACGCUGGCGGCGUGCCUAAUACAUGCAAGUCGAGCGAACGGACGAGAAGCUUGCUUCUCUGAUGUUAGCGGCGGACGGGUGAGUAACACGUGGAUAACCUACCUAUAAGACUGGGAUAACUUCGGGAAACCGUAGCUAAUACCGGAUAAUAUUUUGAACCGCAUGGUUCAAAAGUGAAAGACGGUCUUGCUGUCACUUAUAGAUGGAUCCGCGCUGCAUUAGCUAGUUGGUAAGGUAACGGCUUACCAAGGCAACGAUGCAUAGCCGACCUGAGAGAGUGAUCGGCCACACUGGAACUGAGACACGGUCCAGACUCCUACGGGAGGCAGCAGUAGGGAAUCUUCCGCAAUGGGCGAAAGCCUGACGGAGCAACGCCGCGUGAGUGAUGAAGGUCUUCGGAUCGUAAAACUCUGUUAUUGGGGAAGAACAUAUGUGUAAGUAACUGUGCACAUCUUGACGGUACCUAAUCAGAAAGCCACGGCUAACUACGUG